This 32-nucleotide non-coding RNA is filed under the name unclassified sequences. RNAcentral describes it as "DUF805b RNA". It matches the Rfam family "DUF805b RNA". Rfam says of the family: Bacteroidetes, Chlorobi (1 example), Proteobacteria. Lineage (Flavobacteria) The record is from RNAcentral.
GAUGCGAAAGCCGAAAAGCAAUAGAGUAGGCA